Acipenser ruthenus (sterlet) is the source of this 2480-nucleotide long non-coding RNA. RefSeq lists it as uncharacterized. The record is from RefSeq and is a predicted model, not a curated record. The transcript is spliced from 5 exons. NCBI's taxonomy places the organism in Eukaryota, Metazoa, Chordata, Actinopteri, Acipenseriformes, Acipenseridae.
UGAGAGUGCCAAUGUUGAGGCUGCUCGACUUCUUCAAGAAGCUGCAAGGAUUUUGAAGAGAGAGUCAGAAAGCACAGCCACUGCUGGCUCAGGAUCACAGACUGGUACUGGGACGUGUUCACCCAGUUCUUUUAGCGGUUUGUUUAACAACAUGCAAACCUCACUAGCUGAAGUACAACAGGGAACCCCUACAGUCGAUUCAGGCAGGAUUCCCUGCACUAGAAAUGACCACAUUCAAAGAAAUCUUGUGCAGCUGUUUCAGCCAUGUGAUCGGGCAAGGGGGCAAAAGAUGUUCCAGAAAACUGGAAAGUGUAAACGGAAAACUACACACAGUGAAACCUGGACACGUGAUUUCUUUUGCUUACAGAGACCAAUGUUCAAACUGUGCCCAAUGGAGAAGACCGCAUUGGUUUACAGAAUUCAGCCCUUGGUAGGAAAAAAAUAACAUUUGCAGACAAAAAUGGAGGAUUUUCUGAACUAUGUGAAACUCUGUUUUCACAUUUUCCACAAUUGAAAGGUGCAGGAGGCUUUCAGAUGUUGAGGUCCGUUAAUAAAACCAAACAAUUGGCACCAAUUCCAAUGCCAGCCGGUGAGUACAGUGAGAAAUUUCUGAGAACUGAGAGUGGCCUGAACCAGGCAAUGGCCUACAUUCGACCACUUCAGAAAAACCUGGAGAGCAUUGCGAAGCGUGAGGCUGAAGAGGUAAGAACAGUUGUCAAAAUCUGAUCUCCUCUAUAUUCCUUCUUCUUCGCCUCCCUCUACAGACCUUUCUAUCUGAAUUUCCCUUGAUUCUAUCACCCUUUCCCCUUCCUCCUCUGCCCAAACCUUGGUGUCACCUUUGAUUCCUCCCUUUCCAACUCUCAACAUAUUUCUUCACUGGCACGCUCUUACUGUCUCUUUUUGAGCAAUAUCUAUUGCAUUAAACCUGCUGGACUAUGGCCCUCGACGAUCAGGACUGGAGAUCACUGGGUUAAGGUGUAAAUGCACAUGUAACACAUACUAUAAAAAUGAAGCAUGUUAAAAAUAAAUGUGUGUUUGUUUGUUGUAGUGUCAAGAGGUGGUCAUGGAGAAGUGCAAAAGGUGUGGAAAAGAUAUCCCUCUGCAAUGCCUUUCAGAACACAUUGAAAACUGUGGAAGGUCAUCUGUUUUUCUGGUGUAUUUGUCAUAUAAAUUGCUCAUUUACUUUUACAACAUAGUGGUUGACUUGUAUCUGUGGUAAAUAUGUUUUGACAUUCAAAGCAUGUAUGUCUUUGUUAACUGUUUUCAGACAGCCUGAUGACACAGAUUUGGAAGAUGAUGUCGUUAUGGAGAUAUCUGAAGAGACUCAACUAUCUAUGUCAUCACAUGACAACACAUCCCAUGUUCAAAAUUAUUACAACAAGUGCCAUGCUUCUUGUAGUGGACUGUACAGAGACUAUGUGGACCUUGUCAGUGAAGACAAUGUAUUUAGUGAUUCUGAAGAAGAGCAGCUGAAUAGAGUUCUAGAGGAAUCGCUAAAGGAAAGCUCGCAUGCAGCUUUUAAAUUUCAAAGUCAGACAAUUAAAAAGGAACUGGAUGAUGCGGUUCGACUGGUAUGUUCUUCAGCGAACAAGAACACAGUUUGAAAGGUUGCAAGAAGGACUCCGUUCUCUCGGUGUAAUGGAUUCUAUGAAGGCCCACCCUGAAACCUUCAAACCUAUUUUCUGUCAAUCGACAGAGAAGCUGACUGCUGAUGUGCUUGAAGAGCAGCGAUCUGACUGUGGGAGUAACAAGUUUGAGAGAGAAAAUGAAGCAGUAUGUCAUUGGAGGGAUUAUCUCUUGGAUGUAGAGAUGGGGAUUUGUGGAGUUACCCUGGAGGACAUCCUUGUCUUUGCCACAGGAAGUGACAGUGUACCAGCAUUGGGCUUCAACCCUGCUCCAACUGUUGAAUUUUUGCAUGAUGGUUCACGGUUUCCACUUGCAAACACAUGUUCCAGCAUAUUAAGGGUACCAUGCAGGCAUUCAUACGAGUCCUUCAGGGAUGAUAUGGACUUUGGAAUUAAAAAUUCCCCAGGCUUUGGAAGGGCAUAACCAAAUUCCUUUGCUUACCAUACCUGUAGUCAAAGGGCACAAGUAUGUUCGAUCCUAAGAACAAUGUUAUGCAUGCCAAAGUGCUGCUAGAAUUUUUAUGUUUGUCAUUUUUGUUAUCUAUAAUUCUUUGUACACUUAAAUUUAGCAAGUGAGUCACUUUUGGUUGAGAAUUCUUACCUGUAGUUAUUAUUAUUGCAGAUAUUUAGCAGACACCUUUAUUAAGCACUACAAUUCAAUUUACUAAAAUAUUAAAAUGUAAUAGUUCAAUCUGUCAAUAUUAACAUCAGUGCCUUUAAAUAAAAGUAUAGGCUGGAUCUUUUCCCUCCUAAGGAUUUUUGGUAAUAGAGAAUUCUUAACAGUUGUUAAGUUGUUCCAAGAAAGAACAUUUUACUUUUCCUCCUUAUUAAUAAACACUAUUUGCAUUUCUGUGA